RNAcentral lists this ribosomal RNA (232 nucleotides) under uncultured bacterium. RNAcentral describes it as "partial 16S ribosomal RNA". It matches the Rfam family "Bacterial small subunit ribosomal RNA", at positions 15 to 236 of the family's 1533-position model. The record is from RNAcentral.
GAUCCUGGCUCAGGAUGAACGCUAGCUACAGGCUUAACACAUGCAAGUCGAGGGGAAACGACGUCGAAAGCUUGCUUUUGAUGGGCGUCGACCGGCGCACGGGUGAGUGACGCGUAUCCAACCUGCCCAUCACUUGGGAAUAACCUUGCGAAAGUAAGACUAAUACCCAAUGAUAUCUCUAGAAGACAUCUGAAAGAGAUUAAAGAUUCAUCGGUGAUGGAUGGGGAUGCGU